RNAcentral lists this long non-coding RNA (498 nucleotides) under Camelus dromedarius (Arabian camel). RNAcentral describes it as "lncRNA (ENSCDRG00005020684.1)". Lineage: Eukaryota; Metazoa; Chordata; Mammalia; Artiodactyla; Camelidae. The record is from RNAcentral.
CGGCGGGGAGGGGUGGACCAGCAGCACUCACAGCCGGACGGAGGAGCGGACGCCAGCCGCGCCGGCCAGAGCGAGCGCCCCGUGGCCGGGGGCGCCGUCCAGGCGCGCGCCCCGGACCCGUGGCUGGACGGGGGCGAUUGGCGCCCCGGACCGACGCGCCCCUCAGCAUGGAGCGCCCCCGGGGUCUGCCCUGAGGCGGCGGCGGCGGCGAUGCAGCCAGCGCAGCAGCUGCUUGGGCCAGGAACGGCCGCCCGGAGCUCGGAGGACGUGGAGCGCACCGCGCCCGGGGCGCUGACCGAGGUGGAGAAACUGAGGUCCCAGGAGGGGGACCUGUGGCCCUCCAUCCCCUGUGACCUCAGCCACGGGACAUGGGGCUGGUCCAGGCUCCUGCAUUUGUGCCCCACAGACUAGGACAGAAAGACAGAUCACUGUCUGAGCACCGCUGUGGCUGGAGGUAUGUGCAAGGGAGGGGCUUAGGCCAAGGCCCUACUGCAGCUC